Molecule: ribosomal RNA, 640 nt
Filed under: uncultured bacterium
Lineage: Bacteria
Description: bacterial SSU rRNA
Rfam family: Bacterial small subunit ribosomal RNA
Source: RNAcentral
AUCAAGAUGUAUUUAAAGAUUUAUCGGUGAAAGAUGAGCAUGCGUCCCAUUAGCUAGUUGGUAUGGUAACGGCAUACCAAGGCUACGAUGGGUAGGGGUCCUGAGAGGGAGAUCCCCCACACUGGUACUGAGACACGGACCAGACUCCUACGGGAGGCAGCAGUGAGGAAUAUUGGACAAUGGGCGCAAGCCUGAUCCAGCCAUGCCGCGUGCAGGAUGACGGUCCUAUGGAUUGUAAACUGCUUUUGUACAGGAAGAAACCCUUUCACGUGUGGAAGAUUGACGGUACUGUAAGAAUAAGGAUCGGCUAACUCNGUGCCAGCAGCNGCGGUAAUACGGAGGAUCCAAGCGUUAUCCGGAAUCAUUGGGUUUAAAGGGUCCGUAGGCGGUCAGAUAAGUCAGUGGUGAAAGCCCAUCGCUCAACGGUGGAACGGCCAUUGAUACUGUCUGACUUGAAUUAUUAGGAAGUAACUAGAAUAUGUAGUGUAGCGGUGAAAUGCUUAGAGAUUACAUGGAAUACCAAUUGCGAAGGCAGGUUACUACUAAUGGAUUGACGCUGAUGGACGAAAGCGUGGGUAGCGAACAGGAUUAGAUACCCUGGUAGUCCACGCCGUAAACGAUGGAUACUAGCUGUUGGGAG